This 497-nucleotide ribosomal RNA is filed under the name uncultured bacterium. RNAcentral's name for it is "partial 16S ribosomal RNA". It matches the Rfam family "Bacterial small subunit ribosomal RNA", at positions 28 to 507 of the family's 1533-position model. The record is from RNAcentral.
GACGAACGCUGGCGGCGUGCCUAAUACAUGCAAGUUGAGCGCUGAAGGUUGGUACUUGUACCAACUGGAUGAGCAGCGAACGGGUGAGUAACGCGUGGGGAAUCUGCCUUUGAGCGGGGGACAACAUUUGGAAACGAAUGCUAAUACCGCAUAAAAACUUUAAACACAAGUUUUAAGUUUGAAAGAUGCAAUUGCAUCACUCAAAGAUGAUCCCGCGUUGUAUUAGCUAGUUGGUGAGGUAAAGGCUCACCAAGGCGAUGAUACAUAGCCGACCUGAGAGGGUGAUCGGCCACAUUGGGACUGGGACACGGCCCAAACUCCUACGGGAGGCAGCAGUAGGGAAUCUUCGGCAAUGGACGAAAGUCUGACCGAGCAACGCCGCGUGAGUGAAGAAGGUUUUCGGAUCGUAAAACCCUGUUGGUAGAGAAGAACGUUGGUGAGAGUGGAAAGCUCAUCAAGUGACGGUAACUACCCAGAAAGGGACGGCUAACUACGUG